UUUCGUAGUCAGAGGCCAAUUGAUGCAGA
This 29-nucleotide small RNA is filed under the name Bombyx mori (domestic silkworm). Its description in RNAcentral is "ovarian small RNA-38338". Lineage: Eukaryota; Metazoa; Arthropoda; Insecta; Lepidoptera; Bombycidae. The record is from RNAcentral.